Molecule: long non-coding RNA, 926 nt
Organism: Anolis carolinensis (green anole)
Lineage: Eukaryota; Metazoa; Chordata; Lepidosauria; Squamata; Anolidae
Exons: 2
Source: RefSeq, a predicted model, not a curated record
ACAAGGACUAAACAUUUUCAGUAACUUGGUCACUUAACUUGGUCCAGGUAUAUGCUCACUCUGUGCAUUAAUGUUUUUACUGACUGUCAUAUUUAAAUGUACUAUUUUUUCUAAUGUGGAAUUUUUAUUAUAAUGUGUAUGUUAUUGUCAUUUUAUACUUUUGAUAUUAAUGAAGAAAUUGUGGCAUUGAAUGUUUACCGUUUAUAUGUAUGUUAACUGCCCUGAGUCCCAUUGGGGAGAGAGAGUGGUCUAGAAAUAAAGUUUCCUCUCCUAGGGGUGAAAAUUGAAAGUUCUGUUUUUCUUUUUUUCCCUCUUACUAUUUUUAGUGAAUGUUUUUGUUGAGGAUGUAAGUUUUUCUUGUUCUCUUGCAGAAAAGAGUAAACAUGAUUUUGGUGAUGGGUUUCUUAGCAGCAAGUUCACAUUUCACCACUGGAACAUCAGUGAUGGGUGACAGUAUACAGGAAGAGAAAAUAGAGACUGGAGACUACCCACCAUUAUACAUCAUUCUGACAACAAAGAUGGAAACACCUUAAGAGCUCAUGAGUUCAAGCGAUUUCCCCAUCCCAUGACAAAGAAAAUGCUGAUGAUGUGCCUGGAGACAAAUGCAGCCAUUUUCAAAUUGACUACAAAGAAAACGGGAAACACACCAUUUUCCAGUGGGAUUCCAAUGGGAUUUUCAUGAGUUUGAAUUUUAAAAUGUGCAUGAUUUCACCAUGGGAUACGGUCCCAAGUCUUCCAUUAGCUUCCAACCAUGUAUCUGCAUUGUAGAAUUAAUUCAGUUUGACACUGUAUUGCAAUUCCUCAAUAACAAAGAAAUCUCAGAGUCUUUAGCUUUCUUUGUCAAGGAGAGAUGGUGCCUCACCAAAUUAUAAAUUUAAUGAGUUCAUAGUAUCAAGCCAUGCCAAUUAAAGGGGUGUCAAACUGGA